This 1936-nucleotide long non-coding RNA is filed under the name Triticum aestivum (bread wheat). RNAcentral's name for it is "long non-coding RNA (TAES_LNC016532)". Lineage: Eukaryota; Viridiplantae; Streptophyta; Magnoliopsida; Poales; Poaceae. The record is from RNAcentral.
GACUUCUUAUUCUUUCCUUCCGAGUCUCCUGUUAUCCCCUUCAACAUCUUUUCUCCCCCGCGGCUAUGAUUUCUAGGGUUCAUCUAGCAGUCGAUCCGUCCCCUGUCUCGCGCUGUGGAUCCGUUGUUGCGCUCGCUAGUUCACACGCGAGAUCGAGAUGGCUUCCACUGGUUCGUGCUUUUUUCUCCCUUCCUCCCCUCCCUUAAAAGUGAUAGUGGAUCCGCUCACUAGGCUUUUGUAAAAUUAGUGCUCGUUUUGGGUAUGUUUCCUGGCAGGACGCGCAUGUUUUUGUGUUUGUUAGGGUUCGUCCUACCUUUUUUCUGUCGUGGAUCCCUUUUCGAUCUGGGAGGUCAAAGCAAAGUUAUUGAUGCUCGCUGGCAUCUUGUUGACUGUGUGGUACGAUAGAGGUUCAGGAGUUUAGUGCAUGCUCCUUGAUGUGCAUUUUUUACAAGUCAAGUCCAAGUUCUUUGUGUAUGUCCAAUUUUUUUCUAUUCCUUGACAAAAAGUUUCAUUAAUCAAGAGUCAUCGAUGUGGAUAACAACUACAGAAAACUAGUUGAAAGAAGGUAGUGACCUGUGUUGUGGGUUCACUUGAGGUGGGGAGCUGGUUGAUGCGGCUCGGUUCGUUCAAUCUGCUAGGGAUUCGUCCCUGUUUCUUAACCCUUAGAUUAUUCUCGUGCUCUUUUUUGGUACGGUUUGCUCCAAACAGUUGCUGAUGCGUUCGAAUCUGGUAGGGAUUUUGGUCGUCAUUGUAGCUGAUGCGUUCAAAUCUGGUAGGGAUUUACUCAUCACAGUACAUGAUGCGUUUGAUCUGGCAGGGAUUUGCUCAUCACAGUACUUGUUUAGGACGAUUUUUGGUAGGGAUUGAUCAUCACAGUACUUGUUUUCAGUAGGGAUUGCUCAUCUUAGUUGUUUUCCGUGGGGAUUGCUCAUCCUAGUUGGUGCUUGUUGGGGUUUUUAUUUGAAGGACUGGUCAUCACAUUAGUUGGUUUAUUAAGGAAAAAGUGUGUCCAAUCUGAACCAUGACUUGUAUGAUUCUUUUAGUAAUCACUUCCCUUUUUUAAUGAAAUACAUUUAGCAUUUUAUACCUACAUUUACUAAAUAGUUUUUUCUUGCACUAUCUUUUAUUUUUUGAUGUUGUUUAUGACUCUUAAGUUUUAUACCUGCCUCUAAUUGAUUUUGUAGGUGAAAAUGUUCCUGUACAGUCUAAAGCAAUUUUCCAGUCAUGUUUCUCUACUAUUCGAUGGGCCAAAGCUGUUAGUAAGAUGUCUGUUAGUAAGAUGUCUGUAUUGCAGAGAAGCUUUAUACCAGAGCAAUUUAAACAUCUUCUGAAUGUGCGCGAACAUGUUAUUCUGCCCAUGGAUUUGCUUCAAUGGCUAGCAAAACAUAUCCGCUAUGGUCAAGUAGGUAUUUUUGAGCAGAGAUAGUCAUUCAUAUCACCUGAGAUAUGGUUGAUAUGGUUUUUGGGUGGCGUUCUGGUCCUGUUCCUUUCUGUCUUGAGAGCAGUGAUAUUAAUGUUGUUGAGCAAGUAAUGUUACUGCGGAAGAAAUAUAGCGAUGAUGGCAUGAUAAAGGUUGGCCACGCUUGAAACAGUAAUGUUAUUUCAGUCUAGUAAUGGUAAUGAGAUAGUUUUUGUUCUUGCGCACGGUUUUAUUAAUUUUUUACUUUCUUGAAGACCGAUGAACUUGUUUUCAAAAGAAUGAACAUAUUUUGAGCAAAAUACAUGAUGAAUAUUACAAUAUACACGACAUACAAUAUUUAAAUGCACAAUAAACACUUUUUAAAAAUGUGAUGAACAAAAAUAUAAGAACAGAAGAAAACAUAGAAAACAAAUUCUCUUGUAUAUAAAAAUGUUUAUCAUUUUAAAAAAUACCAUAUAUUUUUAGAAUAUACAAUGAAUAUAUUUUUCAAACAGUUCAUAGUUUUUGAAAAAAAAA